This 1274-nucleotide ribosomal RNA is filed under the name Lamprospora aff. annulata. RNAcentral's name for it is "SSU rRNA". It matches the Rfam family "Eukaryotic small subunit ribosomal RNA", at positions 93 to 1378 of the family's 1831-position model. The record is from RNAcentral. Lineage: Eukaryota; Fungi; Ascomycota; Pezizomycetes; Pezizales; Pyronemataceae.
AUGGCUCAUUAAAUCAGUUAUCGUUUAUUUGAUAGUACCUUACUACUUGGAUAACCGUGGUAAUUCUAGAGCUAAUACAUGCUAAAAAUCCCGACCCCUGGAAGGGAUGUAUUUAUUAGAUAAAAAACCAAUGCCUUCGGGCUUCUUGGUGAUUCAUGAUAACUUUACGAAUCGCAUGGCCUUGUGCUGGCGAUGGUUCAUUCAAAUUUCUGCCCUAUCAACUUUCGAUGGUAGGAUAGUGGCCUACCAUGGUUUCAACGGGUAACGGGGAAUUAGGGUUCGAUUCCGGAGAGGGAGCCUGAGAAACGGCUACCACAUCCAAGGAAGGCAGCAGGCGCGCAAAUUACCCAAUCCCGACACGGGGAGGUAGUGACAAUAAAUACUGAUACAGGGCCCUUUUGGGUCUUGUAAUUGGAAUGAGUACAAUUUAAACCCUUUAACGAGGAACAAUUGGAGGGCAAGUCUGGUGCCAGCAGCCGCGGUAAUUCCAGCUCCAAUAGCGUAUAUUAAAGUUGUUGCAGUUAAAAAGCUCGUAGUUGAACUUUGGGUCUGGGUGACUGGUCUGCGUCUACCGCAUGUACUGGAAACCCGGAUCUUUCCUUCUGGAGAACCGCAUGCACUUCACUGGGUGUGCCGGGGAACCAGGACUUUUACUUUGAAAAAAUUAGAGUGUUCAAAGCAGGCAUUUGCUCGAAUACAUUAGCAUGGAAUAAUAAAAUAGGACGUGCGGUUCUAUUUUGUUGGUUUCUAGGACCGCCGUAAUGAUUAAUAGGGAUAGUCGGGGGCAUCCGUAUUCGAUUGUCAGAGGUGAAAUUCUUGGAUUUUUCGAAGACGAACUACUGCGAAAGCAUUUGCCAAGGAUGUUUUCAUUAAUCAGGAACGAAAGUUGAGGGAUCGAAGACGAUCAGAUACCGUCGUAGUCUCAACCAUAAACUAUGCCGACUAGGGAUUGGGCGACUGUGUUUUUUGAGUUGCUCAGCACCUUACGAGAAAUUAAAGUUUUUGGGUUCUGGGGGGAGUAUGGUCGCAAGGCUGAAACUUAAAGGAAUUGACGGAAGGGCACCACCAGGAGUGGAGCCUGCGGCUUAAUUUGACUCAACACGGGGAAACUCACCAGGUCCAGACACAUUAAGGAUUGACAGAUUGAGAGCUCUUUCUUGAUCAUGUGGGUGGUGGUGCAUGGCCGUUCUUAGUUGGUGGAGUGAUUUGUCUGCUUAAUUGCGAUAACGAACGAGACCUUAACCUGCUAAAUAGCUGGGCUCGCUUUCGCGGGU